Molecule: long non-coding RNA, 1267 nt
Organism: Brassica oleracea var. oleracea
Lineage: Eukaryota; Viridiplantae; Streptophyta; Magnoliopsida; Brassicales; Brassicaceae
Exons: 7
Source: RefSeq, a predicted model, not a curated record
CUUCCUCACAUAAUCAAUCCGCCGUUAUCCCCUCUCCGUAAUGAUCUGCAAACAGUUGUUCCUCUUCUCAUCUCUACACUUCACAUGUCCGUAUCUCUUCAUCUCCCUUGAGGAUCGAUGUCUCGCUUUUAAUUCGUGAGUAAUUGUUACUCACAUUAACCCCAGUUACGAUGUCGACGCUUCCGUUUCCUUCGCUUUUGAUCUAUAUAUCAGCGUCUUGAGAGGAUGAUUAACUUCAUUGUUACCGUUACGACCCGAGCUGUUGUUCGUUUCCUCAUUGAACCGAGGGUCGUCGUUUACCUAUCUUUGUGGGAUGAUGUUGCAUCAAUGUUUAGAGGACUCAUCAGCUCAGGUGAUAGGACACAGACAGUGAUGGUGGUCACUACUGUGAAUCCCAAAAUAUUUGGAGCUUAGAAGGACCAGUCCGACAAGCUUUUCCUUGUAUCGAUACCAAAGAAGGGAUAAAAAAAAGGAAGUCGUCUGAUUAGGAAAGCUAAACAAGUUCAUUUCCAAUUCUAACGAGCAGACACUUGAAGCUGAAUUUAUUUGCAAGGCUUGGGUUGUUGAUGUCCUGCAACAAAAUGGGUGGUAUUUCGUCUCUUGCACUGGCUGCAGCAGGAAGCUAGACAAAGAUGGGACUUCUCUCCGUUGCAUCCGUUGUGUUAAUCCCAACGCAACUGGCGCCAUCAAGUAUCGCGUUGAACUUUUAGUUGAUGAUGGAAAUGAUAAUGCCACUUUUGUGGUGUUCGACAGGGAAAUGCUUAAACUAACUAAGCAAGACGCAGCUGGCCUAAAUCUCGAUGAGAUAAAUGGUGGUGGCAGCAUGGAACUCCCACAAUGCCUUAAAACCUUGGUGGACAAGAUUUUGUCUUCCAGAUACGUGUGACACCAUUCAAUUUUAGCCCAAGCCACCGUACUUUCACAGUUUCCGCAAUCAUUAACACCAUCGGCCCCGAGACUUUCAAAACCAAUGCAGCUGAAUUUGUUCCGGUGGAAGGUGGUGAAGCAUCGGCUACGGGCAGCAACAUGACUGGAGGUGAAGAGAAAGAACCAAAUCCAUCCGAUGCUGGAGGCAAAGGGAGUAGCCGUAAACGUCCCCGUGAGUGAAGUUACAAAGCCGUCGCAACGUCAACCCACUUCUGCUUUCUUUUCUUUCCAUUUCGUUACGUAGUAUGCUUUUUUAUUUUCGGACUUUGCAUGAGUUUUCAUAUUUGAAGGGUUUUGUUUUAUUAAGACACUUAUGAUUUGGAUAUUUAUCAAAAAUGGG